CUAAGACUGGAUAGGAGACAAGAGGGCAUCUUCUUGUUUUUAAAAGACCUAGCAAUAGGUAUGCUUAGGGAGGAGCUUGCGUCACAUUAGUUAGUUGGUGGGGUAAAGGCCUACCAAGACUAUGAUGUGUAGCCGGGCUGAGAGGUUGAACGGCCACAUUGGGACUGAGACACGGCCCAAACUCCUACGGGAGGCAGCAGUAGGGAAUUUUCGGCAAUGGAGGAAACUCUGACCGAGCAACGCCGCGUGAACGAUGAAGUAUUUCGGUACGUAAAGUUCUUUUAUUAGGGAAGAAUAAAUGAUGGAAAAAUCAUUCUGACGGUACCUAAUGAAUAAGCCCCGGCUAACUAUGUGCCAGCAGCCGCGGUAAUACAUAGGGGGCAAGCGUUAUCCGGAAUUAUUGGGCGUAAAGGGUGCGUAGGCGGUUAAAUAAGUUUAUGGUCUAAGUGCAAUGCUCAACAUUGUGAUGCUAUAAAAACUGUUUAGCUAGAGUAAGAUAGAGGCAAGUGGAAUUCCAUGUGUAGUGGUAAAAUGCGUAAAUAUAUGGAGGAACACCAGUAGCGAAGGCGGCUUGCUGGGUCUUUACUGACGCUGAGGCACGAAAGCGUGGGGAGCAAACAGGAUUAGAUACCCUGGUAGUCCACGCCGUAAACGAUGAGUACUAAACGUUGGGUAAAACCAGUGUUGAAGUUAACACAUUAAGUACUCCGCCUGAGUAGUACGUACGCAAGUAUGAAACUUAAAGGAAUUGACGGGACUCCGCACAAGCGGUGGAUCAUGUUGUUUAAUUCGAAGGUACCCGAAAAACCUCACCAGGUCUUGACAUGCUUCUGCAAAGCUGUAGAAACACAGUGGAGGUUAUCAGUUGCACAGGUGGUGCAUGGUUGUCGUCAGCUCGUGUCGUGAGAUGUUGGGUUAAGUCCCGCAACGAGCGCAACCCUUAUUGUUAGUUACCAGCACGUAAUGGUGGGGACUUUAGCAAGACUGCCAGUGAUAAAUUGGAGGAAGGUGGGGACGACGUCAAAUCAUCAUGCCCCUUAUGACCUGGGCUACAAACGUGAUACAAUGGCUGUUACAAAGGGUAGCUGAAGCGCAAGUUUUUGGCGAAUCUCAAAAAAACAGUCUCAGUUCGGAUUGAAGUCUGCAACUCGACUUCAUGAAGUUGGAAUCGCUAGUAA
Molecule: ribosomal RNA, 1178 nt
Filed under: Sesame phyllody phytoplasma
Lineage: Bacteria; Bacillati; Mycoplasmatota; Mollicutes; Acholeplasmatales; Acholeplasmataceae
Description: bacterial SSU rRNA
Rfam family: Bacterial small subunit ribosomal RNA
Source: RNAcentral